UUCUUGAACUGUUUACUGUAAAAAAAAAGUGUGUUAAUGUUUACACAGUUAAUUGACACCGAACUUGAUUUGCAGACACUACCAAACGAAGAAGAGGAGGAGGAGGAGGAAGAAGAAGACGAGGAACACAGGAGGAGCCCAUUGAGACAAGAAGAAGAAGAAGAGGAAGAAGAGGAAGAGGAAGACUGACAGACAGACAUUCCAUUGAGUGUGCGGUGUCCCGCAGGCAGGCAGACCGAGACGCCAGCCAUUCAAUUCUGCCGAGGGAAGGAAGUCGUGUUAGUCAACUCUGAUGACUUGUACUUUUCUCUGCAAGGGACUGUUCUGUAAGCCAGUCACAGAAGAUGUGAACUGUAUCUGUACUAUGAAGUCUUAUAAAUAAAGUUAAAGGCUACA
Molecule: long non-coding RNA, 396 nt
Organism: Eriocheir sinensis (Chinese mitten crab)
Lineage: Eukaryota; Metazoa; Arthropoda; Malacostraca; Decapoda; Varunidae
Exons: 3
Source: RefSeq, a predicted model, not a curated record